This 769-nucleotide long non-coding RNA is filed under the name Chrysemys picta bellii (western painted turtle). Its description in RNAcentral is "lncRNA (ENSCPBG00000015452.1)". The record is from RNAcentral. Lineage: Eukaryota; Metazoa; Chordata; Testudines; Emydidae.
AGCUGCGUUCAUCCUGCCCCUGGAGCUGAGCAGGGUGGGUCACAUGGCAGAGCUACUGUCUCAAGCUAACCGAAGGCUCAAGCAGACCUUGCUGCACUGGCUACACCCAAGUACACGACAGGGUUACAAGAUUUUCUUCACAACUACGAGGGCCAGAGAUUUUUUUUCUUCUAAAUGAAAACCGAUGGCACAGCUACACUACACACUGCUGCAGGCACAAGUCACAUCAGCAUAAAGCCGCUGCAGAACGUGUGCUGCUUGUCUGCAUGCACGCUUGGCUCCUUGUGUCGGUGCCGCGCGUGCUCACCAGGAGGGCUUGUGUCAAUACACGUGACCGUCCUACAGGCUGAGUGUCUGCUCCCAGCGGCUGAACACACUGAGAAGCUGCAGCGGAAACUCUGGGUUCUGCUACUGGAACAUAAAAGGCUCAUCAAGAAGGAAGGGCAACAAAAGAAUCUCCAACAGGUGAGGAAAAAUGGCAGCCAACAUCCUUCCCCGAAUGAGACUCCUUGUACACAUGCUCUCUCUUCAUCAGUUCACUGCACCAAAAGGGACAAAGGAAACAGCCACUGACCCAAGAAGUUUGGUCAGUAAGAACUGCUGAGAGCAUGCAAUGAGAAAGCUUUGUUUUGAAUUUAACACAGUUUAAGUUGUGUUUUAGCUUGUUUUUCUUGUAACCAUUUCUGACAUUUAAUGCCUCGUUAAUUGUACUGACUUAAAAAUUUCUCUCUGUAGUUAAUAAACUUGUUUUAUUGUUUGAUCUGAUCCA